UAUGGCCACAUCACGCUGAAACAUCAGUUCUUGUAUGAUCACUGAAGUUAAGCAACAUUGAGCUUGCUCAGUAACUGGAUGGGUGACUGCCUGGGAAUACCAGGUUCUGUAA
Acanthosepion pharaonis is the source of this 112-nucleotide non-coding RNA. NCBI's taxonomy places the organism in Eukaryota, Metazoa, Mollusca, Cephalopoda, Sepiida, Sepiidae. The record is from the annotation of a GenBank genome assembly.